Molecule: long non-coding RNA, 615 nt
Organism: Pleuronectes platessa (European plaice)
Lineage: Eukaryota; Metazoa; Chordata; Actinopteri; Pleuronectiformes; Pleuronectidae
Exons: 3
Source: RefSeq, a predicted model, not a curated record
CGGUCCUUUAACUCGGGGCUGCGUAAUAACCACCGAGCGCUUGGAAGACAAACGAUGUCAUCUUCCUUCUGUCAGAAACUCCUGCAGGUUAAACUUACUCUCAACUAAUUAUAAACUAUAAACAGAAUGAAACUGGUGCUUUCAAUACAAAAUCCCAGCAACUACUUUUAGGAUGUUACUUCUAGAAAGAAAUAUCAUCUUAUAUUCAGACUAAAUAAAAAGUCAGAGAAAGAGAAUCUCACCACAGACGUAGUGCGGACAGCAGGAGUCCUGCCUGUAGUCCGAAACCAGCUUCUCCCCGUACUUACACUCAGGAGGGACCAGGUCACACAGGCUCUGGUUACAAACUGCAGAGCCACAAAUCACAUCUUCAACAUUGGAUUUUCUAAUUCUACACCAACUUUUUCAGUUUGAACAUUUCAAACUUGCCGCCUCACCGCAGACUCUCUGUGGGCAGCAGCUGGUGUAAAGCUUCAGGGGGAGAAAGCCACAAGACCUCAACCCCCACGUACAUUUACCAAACACCAACCGCAGGCUCCAGACCGGCCUCGGUCCAGGAGGUGACACCCACCAGCCUUCGCCUCCACCGACCCGCUGCUGCCGACUCUCCGCGCC